CUUCAGUCUUCCUAACAAAUGGAUCAACACAUUAUUUUAACCUUUUUUACUGUUAUAUUAUUAUCAUUGGAAAGUUACCGAAGACAACAAAAGGAGGAGAAUGGUGAUUCAUGGAAGGCAAAAGUGAAAUAAUGGAUAAAUCGAGGAAUCGAGGAAAGGUCCAUUACAUUAACUGCAAUUAGAUGCAUUUUUUUGUAAGGUCCAAGAAGAGGAUAAAAAAUAUUCAAUGAUUUAAUGUGAUUCCUGGUCCACCCUAAGGCAUGGGAACGAGUCGAACCAAUUGGACAUAGUUUAUGCUGCUGUUAAUUAAAGUUAUCCAAGUGACUAUCGACUUACCCGUUGAUUCAAUUGACAUUUUAUGUUAUUUAUUGUUGUAAUGAAAAGAUUGAGAUAAUUUCUCCUGCCAACUCCUUCUUUAUAAGCAACUCAAUGAAAGUGCAAAAUUGGUUAAAAUAACAAGCUUUUGGGUCGAUAUUUAAAUGCAACGGAUUAAUAAGCAUGAUAAGACUGAACCUCUUUGCUUACAACUCUAGUCAAUUGGCAUAAAAAACAGUCUCACGAUAAUGAAUCGGAUGAAACUGAAAGCCAAUUAAUUAACUGCAUUUACUUUGAUUACAUUAAAUGAAGAAAAGUAAACAGAAAAGUAUUGAAAUUGAAUUUAUCAAUUAAAUGGUUUUCUCAAUGAAAAUGAAAACCCAUUUAUGGUUAUAACAUUAACCUUACAUCAACUUCAACCUCAACAUCAUUACCAUUGCAUUAUUUAAUGUAAAAUGAAUCUAAUCUUUUGACAAGAAAAUAAUUGAAAGACUUUUUUGGUUACAUUUAACAAGAAGUAUCCAGAUGAUGUAAAGUAAAGGGAAGAAUCUUGUUGAUCAUGAAUUGGCUGAGUUUACAUUCAGAUGUCGAUUGAAAUGAUGUUCAUUAUCAUGCAAAUAAAUGAUUGACUAACAAUAA
Molecule: non-coding RNA, 954 nt
Organism: Tetranychus urticae (two-spotted spider mite)
Lineage: Eukaryota; Metazoa; Arthropoda; Arachnida; Trombidiformes; Tetranychidae
Source: RefSeq, a predicted model, not a curated record